This 298-nucleotide signal recognition particle RNA is filed under the name Callithrix jacchus (white-tufted-ear marmoset). Its description in RNAcentral is "Metazoan signal recognition particle RNA (ENSCJAG00000074717.1)". It matches the Rfam family "Metazoan signal recognition particle RNA". From Rfam's summary of the family: The signal recognition particle (SRP) is a universally conserved ribonucleoprotein. Lineage: Eukaryota; Metazoa; Chordata; Mammalia; Primates; Cebidae. The record is from Rfam by way of RNAcentral.
GCUGGGCAUGGAGGCGCGUGCCUGUAGUUCAGCUACUCGGGAGGCUGAGGCUGGAGGAUCCCAUGAGCCCAGGAGUUCUGGGCUGUAGUGCGCUAUGCCAAUCGGGUGUCCACACUAAGUUCGGCAUCAAUAUGGUGACCUCCCAGGAGCGGGAGACCACCAGGUUGCCUAAGGAGGGAUGAACCGGCCCAGGUCGGAAACGAAGUGGUCAAAACUCCCGUGCUGAUCAGUAGUGGGAUCAAGCCUGUGAAUAGCCACUGCACUCCAGCCUGGGCAACAUAGUGAGAUCCCGUCUCAA